This 393-nucleotide ribosomal RNA is filed under the name uncultured bacterium. RNAcentral describes it as "partial 16S ribosomal RNA". It matches the Rfam family "Bacterial small subunit ribosomal RNA", at positions 523 to 918 of the family's 1533-position model. The record is from RNAcentral.
AUACGGAGGAUGCGAGCGUUAUCCGGAUUUAUUGGGUUUAAAGGGAGCGUAGGUGGGAUAUUAAGUCAGCUGUGAAAGUUUGGGGCUCAACCUUAAAAUUGCAGUUGAUACUGGUUUCCUUGAGUACGGUACAGGUGGGCGGAAUUCGUGGUGUAGCGGUGAAAUGCUUAGAUAUCACGAAGAACUCCGAUCGCGAAGGCAGCUCACCGGGCCGGAACUGACACUGAUGCUCGAAAGUGCGGGUAUCAAACAGGAUUAGAUACCCUGGUAGUCCGCACAGUAAACGAUGAAUACUCGCUGUUUGCGAUACACGGUAAGCGGCCAAGCGAAAGCGUUAAGUAUUCCACCUGGGGAGUACGCCGGCAACGGUGAAACUCUAAGGAAUUGACGGGG